AGUGAACGCUGGCGGUGGGCCUAACACAUGCAAGUCGAACGGAAGCACAGUAAGAGCUUGCUCUUACGGGUGGCGAGUGGCGGACGGGUGAGGAAUACAUCAGAAUCUACUUUUUCGGGGGGGAUAACGUGGGGAAACUUACGCUAAUACCGCAUACGACCUACGGGUGAAAGCAGGAGAUCUUCGGACCUUGCGCGAUUGAAUGAGCCGAUGUCGGAUUAGCUAGUUGGCGGGGUAAAGGCCCACCAAGGCGACGAUCCGUAGCUGGUCUGAGAGGAUGAUCAGCCACACUGGAACUGAGACACGGUCCAGACUCCUACGGGAGGCAGCAGUGGGGAAUAUUGGACAAUGGGCGCAAGCCUGAUCCAGCCAUACCGCGUGGGUGAAGAAGGCCUUCGGGUUGUAAAGCCCUUUUGUUGGGAAAGAAAAGCAGCAGGUUAAUACCCCGCUGUUCUGACGGUACCCAAAGAAUAAGCACCGGCUAACUUCGUG
RNAcentral lists this ribosomal RNA (492 nucleotides) under uncultured bacterium. RNAcentral's name for it is "partial 16S ribosomal RNA". It matches the Rfam family "Bacterial small subunit ribosomal RNA", at positions 29 to 507 of the family's 1533-position model. The record is from RNAcentral.